Sarcophilus harrisii (Tasmanian devil) is the source of this 725-nucleotide long non-coding RNA. RefSeq lists it as uncharacterized. The record is from RefSeq and is a predicted model, not a curated record. Lineage: Eukaryota; Metazoa; Chordata; Mammalia; Dasyuromorphia; Dasyuridae. The transcript has 3 exons.
CAGAGCUGUAAACAUUUUUUUAAAAAAAAGAUUUUAUGCUGAUAUGAAGUUAAAAAUAGCACUGCUGUCAUCUUUCCAUUAUUUAGAGGUAAGUCACCUUGUUAGUGUCUUAGAGAGGUAAUUUCUUUGCUUGCUUUUUAGACAUGAUACUCAAAGGCAUUUCCAACCAUGAAACAGGAAAGAAGGGAAAAGAAACAUCAGACAUCAAAUCCUGAAUCUUACAGUCUGCCAACAGCUAUUUCCCCUAUCUUUGGAGAACCCAGUGUCUAAAGAACCAGUUCCUUUUAACAACUCAAUAGCGAAUGGUUUUUCAAAGUGAUAUCCUCUUGUAUCAAGAAUAUAAAAACAUCUCCCUUCCUGGAAGGGGGGAAGAAGGAAGAUUAGGCUAAAAACCUAGCCUGAUUUCUACAGAGUCCUAGCCCCACCACGUUCACAUACAGAUACAGAAAGAUGAAGAAGACAGCAUGGAACCAGACGUAUUGAGAUCCCUUAUUAGAAGCAUUUACCUGAUUUUUUCAUUGUGAGUCAAGAGCUCUUGAAAGAAGGUCCCCAGGCUUACUUUGAGGGAUGCUGUUCUACCAGGCCAAAUGCCACUUUCCUCCAGGAGGCCCAUCUGGAGUUUCCCAUUGCUAGUGUUUCCUCACUAGGAUUUACGCUGUAAUUUACUUAUCACUUUACAUGUUUCCCCCCCAGAAGAAUGUAAGCUCCUUGAGGGAGUGCUCUCU